This is a long non-coding RNA of Eurytemora carolleeae, 1376 nucleotides long. RefSeq lists it as uncharacterized. Lineage: Eukaryota; Metazoa; Arthropoda; Copepoda; Calanoida; Temoridae. The transcript has 2 exons. The record is from RefSeq and is a predicted model, not a curated record.
UUGGUCACCAGUUUUAUCAAGCGUUAAUGACAACCCAUUAACAACCCAGAAUAAGAAUCAUAUUUUUUCUUUUCUUUUUCAGUCAACAUAAAAAGUCAAAUAAGAUUAGAUAAGAUAAGGGAAGGAUCUGAAAACCAGCCCAUAUAUUUACUGAUUUUUCUAUAUUUAGAGAAAAGGGAAAUUUGUGUCAAGAUUUUCAUAUUCUUCUGUUUGAGAAUUCAACCUUCAACAUAAAAAUGAUUUACUCAUAAUACACAAGUGACCCAGCUCAAGCAAAACUAUUGCUAAAUUGUUGCCAAAACCUUUUUGCAAUAUCUUCUGCUGUUUAGAUGAACCUAUAUAAACUCUGUACAUAUUGUAAACUAAGUUCUGUUUUUUAUAUCUACACAGUGAAAUACAACUCAAUUUACCAACACUCUUUUUCUUCAAGUAAGUUAAAACUUUUUAUCUUAACAGAAACACUGAUUUUCUGUUUAGGUUAGAAACCUACAAAAAUUAUUACUCCAAUUCUUAUUCUUCAAUUAUUCUUAUAUGAGAACUUAUCAUCUCAUUAUCAUUAAAAGAUUUUCUUUUUAACAGUCUUUGGAGGGGUUGGACAGGAAUCCACGGGUUGGAACAGGGUUUCGUGGGGUUGGAACAGGGUUCUGCAAACUGCCUGGGUUCGGACAGGAUAUUGUGGGGCUCAUGGCCACAUGGCCCCUGCUCCCUCGUACAAUAGGUGGAAACACAGAAUGUGUACAAUCUUAGUUCAGCUGUAUCUACGUAAUAAGUGUCCACUCAGUGUUGUGCUGUUUUAAAAUUAGGCAUUUGAUCUAUUCCCAUUUUUUACUAUAUAGAAUAUGUACAUUUCCAAUUGUUGCGUGCCUUAUAAACCACAUUAGAAUGUAUCAAUAUAAUUUGUCUGACAAAAUUAUAAAUUGAAGUGAUAAUUUUAGACUGUGCUUAUCUUUUAGUGAAGUCAGUGUAAUUUUGUGUUCCUUAUUUUCUGUUUUUACACUUUUUCAUUUCAAGUCCCCAUGACUAAAUAAAGGAGCCAAAGGGAUUGAAACUGAUAUUGUAAACAACCAUAUAACAUUGUAAUUUUAAUAUAUUAUGUUAAAACAUAUUUUAGAAAUGUUUAAUGACAUACUCAGGGAAGUCCUCUGGAAAUGUUUAACUGAGAUUAAACCCCCAGGUCUGGGGGAAGUACAGGCAAAAAGAAAAGGGGGGAAGAACUUGUUUUGUGUCUAGAUGCUGUCCUCUCCCUGGGACAUCCAGGUUUCAUCCCCUCUGAACAAGAAGACAAAUUAUGGCUUAAUGCUUUAAAAAUCGAAGGAGACAACUGAAAUUGGAGAUAAAUGUGCUCUACAUUUAAUUUUUAAUAAAUUAUUUUUGUA